AAGGGUAUAGCUCAGUGAUAUAGUAUGUGCUUAGUGUGCAUGAGGUCCUGGGUUCAAUACCCAGAACCUCUG
RNAcentral lists this transfer RNA (72 nucleotides) under Camelus bactrianus (Bactrian camel). It matches the Rfam family "tRNA". From Rfam's summary of the family: Transfer RNA (tRNA) molecules are approximately 80 nucleotides in length. Their secondary structure includes four short double-helical elements and three loops (D, anti-codon, and T loops). Further hydrogen bonds mediate the characteristic L-shaped molecular structure. tRNAs have two regions of fundamental functional importance: the anti-codon, which is responsible for specific mRNA codon recognition, and the 3' end, to which the tRNAs corresponding amino acid is attached (by aminoacyl-tRNA synthetases). tRNAs cope with the degeneracy of the genetic code in two manners: having more than one tRNA (with a specific anti-codon) for a particular amino acid; and 'wobble' base-pairing, i.e. permitting non-standard base-pairing at the 3rd anti-codon position. Lineage: Eukaryota; Metazoa; Chordata; Mammalia; Artiodactyla; Camelidae. The record is from Rfam by way of RNAcentral. RNAcentral also lists the same sequence under 2 other names.